Molecule: ribosomal RNA, 120 nt
Filed under: Planktothrix mougeotii
Lineage: Bacteria; Bacillati; Cyanobacteriota; Cyanophyceae; Oscillatoriales; Microcoleaceae
Source: RNAcentral
UUCCUGGUGCCUAUGGCUCAGUGGAACCACUCCGAUCCAUCUCGAACUCGGAAGUGAAACGCUGACACGGCGAAGAUACUUGGAGGGUAGCCUCCUGGGAAAAUAGCUCGGUGCCAGGUU